Molecule: ribosomal RNA, 500 nt
Filed under: uncultured bacterium
Lineage: Bacteria
Description: partial 16S ribosomal RNA
Rfam family: Bacterial small subunit ribosomal RNA
Source: RNAcentral
AUUGAACGCUGGCGGCAUGCCUUACACAUGCAAGUCGAACGGAUUCAAGGGGCUUGCUCCUUGAGUUAGUGGCGAACGGGUGAGUAAUGCAUCGGAACGUACCCAGUUGUGGGGGAUAACGUAGCGAAAGUUACGCUAAUACCGCAUACGACCUGAGGGUGAAAGCGGGGGAUCGCAAGACCUCGCGCAAUUGGAGCGGCCGAUGUCAGAUUAGCUAGUUGGUAGGGUAAAAGCCUACCAAGGCGACGAUCUGUAGCUGGUCUGAGAGGACGACCAGCAACACUGGGACUGAGACACGGCCCAGACUCCUACGGGAGGCAGCAGUGGGGAAUUUUGGACAAUGGGGGAAACCCUGAUCCAGCCAUGCCGCGUGAGUGAAGAAGGCCUUCGGGUUGUAAAGCUCUUUCGGACAGAAAGAAAUCUUUUGGGCUAAUACCCUGAGAGGAUGACGGUACUGUAAGAAGAAGCACCGGCUAACUACGUGCCAGCCGCCGCCGUAA